Non-coding RNA from Struthio camelus australis, 1563 nucleotides. Lineage: Eukaryota; Metazoa; Chordata; Aves; Struthioniformes; Struthionidae. The record is from RefSeq and is a predicted model, not a curated record.
UGAAGCUUGCAACACAAACUGGAAAGACAGUUCAAGUCAUUUUAGACAAUGAACAACAGUGGAGAGGACUGUAUCCACGAAAUGAGUCAGGAGGGGCAGUUUUGCCACCAGAGAAGAAUUCCUCUUCACCAGCUGUGAUAUCAUUUAACAAUGACAGCUCUCUGGUUUACUGAAAGACUGAAAGAACUUUACUGAUGCAUAUUGCACCGCAUGUUUUCCACUUGUUCUAAUGGUUGCCCGUCGGACAGAGCUGAAAAUAUUUACAAGUGUUCGAACACUGGCCCUGACGAUGCGUUCCAGGUGACAUCAGCGUAAAUACCGCCUGGCCGGAGGGGAGGAUCCAACGCUCACGUCGCGUUGUGUGCAGCCUUUCAUGAAACCAGGGUAUCAAGAAAAGCUGGAAAGCUGUCAAAUAGUUGGACUUCAAUUCCUGGCUAAAUUUCAAGGGAACAGGAAUCCUGAACUAGUAUACGUGACUGACAAAGAAGUAGCAUUAUGAAAUAAUUUCAUCAUCUGAAAAGAAUACUGGAUUCCUUCCAUUAACUGACAAGCAGAUCCAGCCCGCAAAGCAGCAGCAAACUAUCAUAGCGUCCUUCUGCCAGAGAAUUCACCAGGUCAUCACACACCAGAGACUAGUUGUAGGAACUAUCAUUGUCAUCUGUGCUGACAAGCAGGGCGAUGUGGUGGUGUGUGCUUUGAAGAGCUCUGUGUCGAGCUGACAGUUCUAACUGAACGACUGAACUGCUGAACGGGAUGAUUGCUUUCUUCUCUUCUCUGAUGCUCGUGCUACUGAUCUCGGCACAACUGCUUCCCCAGCAUCUGUGUGGAUCUGGUAUUCCUCCACUGAUCCUGAAUCAAAGUGCAAGUGGUUUUAACCACUUGCAACUGAGAGUGACUAUGGUUCACCAUACUGAUGGGCUUUCAGCUCGCAACAGCCCUGGCCUGGCUCAUUCACUAAAGGACACAUGGAGACGAUCCUCACUUUUGGGAUGAUGACACUGACGGCCAAAUGCCCAGCAGAGGUGAAUGGUGGGAGAGAAAUGCUGCGUGUCACUCCGAUGCGGAUGCUGGCAGAGGGGCCAAGAGUAUCAACACUAUGAAAGCUAUGGAGAGAGAGAGCUGUUGAAAAAAAGUGUCCCCCACUGAACUGGGAGCUUUGGUGAACAAGCCAGAAGAACCUGAAGGAGACCUUCAAUAUUGUUACGGCUAAACAUCUUUCUUUUUUCCUUUAUGCCCAAACUGAAAGAUAUUAGAGAAUCCAUCAGAGUCUACAAUAACAGCAAAAAUGAUGAAAUUUAAAUACUAACUUUAUAGAAAGGAACCAUGCAAAACAGCAAAAAGAAGUUGAGCUUAUUUGGAUGUGCUCCUGGAAGUAAGUUUUGAGCCAAAAUGAAUAUAGUGUACUAAGUACACAGCACAUAUAAUACAAACUUAAGAGCUCACCUUUAUGUUAAACAAUAUAUCCCCUCCAAAACCACCACCACCACAAAUCUGAUCUAAAACUGACAUAAAUUGAAUAUCUUCUUCGUCUUUCAAAAAAGAAAGUCAACAAAUGUUUGUAUU